AGCAUCUGGGUCAACCUCCCACCCGUGUUUAUCGUACCUUGUUGCUUCGGCGGGCCCGCCUCACGGCCGCCGGGGGGCAUCUGCCCCCGGGCCCGCGCCCGCCGAAGACACCAAUGAACUCUUGUCUGAAGAUUGCAGUCUGAGCAGAUUAGCUAAAUCAGUUAAAACUUUCAACAACGGAUCUCUUGGUUCCGGCAUCGAUGAAGAACGCAGCGAAAUGCGAUACGUAAUGUGAAUUGCAGAAUUCAGUGAAUCAUCGAGUCUUUGAACGCACAUUGCGCCCCCUGGUAUUCCGGGGGGCAUGCCUGUCCGAGCGUCAUUGCUGCCCUCAAGCACGGCUUGUGUGUUGGGCUUCGCCCCCCGGCUCCCGGGGGGCGGGCCCGAAAGGCAGCGGCGGCACCGCGUCCGGUCCUCGAGCGUAUGGGGCUUCGUCACCCGCUCUGUAGGCCCGGCCGGCGCCCGCCGGCGACCCCAAUCAAUCUUUCCAGGUUGACCUCGGAUCAGGUAGGGAUACCCGCUGAACUUAAGCAUAUCAAUAACCCAGAGGAAA
This 550-nucleotide ribosomal RNA is filed under the name fungal sp. SNB-CN103. RNAcentral describes it as "eukaryotic LSU rRNA". The stretch from base 166 to 319 matches the Rfam family "5.8S ribosomal RNA". The record is from RNAcentral. Lineage: Eukaryota; Fungi.